AGAGUGAUACACACAGACAUUAACUGGCUGCCACUUCCGAGGAAGGAAGCAGCUUGGGUGACUGCGAGCGGCAGCCGGGACCCAACAGCAGAGCCGCCUGCCACUUCAGCCCCUUCUGCUGGUCCCCGCUCACCUCUGGCAGUGCUCUCCGUCUGAACACCUCUCUCCUGCCGCUCGCCGGCCAGCUUCCCGCAAAUCUUUAAAUUCUGACAGCGCGCUCA
This is a long non-coding RNA of Amblyraja radiata (thorny skate), 221 nucleotides long. RefSeq lists it as uncharacterized. The record is from RefSeq and is a predicted model, not a curated record. The transcript is spliced from 3 exons. Lineage: Eukaryota; Metazoa; Chordata; Chondrichthyes; Rajiformes; Rajidae.